AAAAAAGGGAGAUGCUCAAAAUACACAGUAGAUACUGUCGGAUCGUUAGUGCUAAUUAUUAAUCUCAAAAGUUCGAACUGUCAGAAAUACGCAACCAAUUCAUUUAAAGCAUACAGAUACAACGCCCACGGAUCUCGAUUGUGACUCGGCACAACUAACCUUACGCCACUUCGAACAUGACUCGGCCCAACCCAGCCUCACACCAUUUCGAAUAUGACUCAGUCCAUAUGACCUCCCGCUACAGGGUAAGAUGCUGGCCCAUUUAGGCCAACAGAUACAACAGCUCAUAGUGAUAAUUCUGGUCCUGCGUCAUUGCUAUCAGU
This 323-nucleotide long non-coding RNA is filed under the name Ananas comosus (pineapple). RNAcentral describes it as "long non-coding RNA (ACOM_LNC038752)". Lineage: Eukaryota; Viridiplantae; Streptophyta; Magnoliopsida; Poales; Bromeliaceae. The record is from RNAcentral.